This is a long non-coding RNA of Cygnus olor (mute swan), 3691 nucleotides long. RefSeq lists it as uncharacterized. The record is from RefSeq and is a predicted model, not a curated record. The transcript is spliced from 3 exons. NCBI's taxonomy places the organism in Eukaryota, Metazoa, Chordata, Aves, Anseriformes, Anatidae.
UCCCCCGUCCCCAAGCAGCAGCGCCCGCCCCGCGCCCCGUCACCGUCACCUCACGGCGUCGCAGCACGGCUGGGGUGGGCAGGGAGCUCUGAAGGUCACCCAGUCCAGCCCCAGUCCUGCCGAGCAGGGUCACCCAGAGCACACUGUGCAGGACGGCGUCCAGGCGCGUUUUUUAGAAUACCUCCAGAAAAGGAGACUCCACAGCCUCUCUGGGCAGCCUGUCCCGGUGAUUUGAUCUUUGUGGGGGGAGGCAGGGGUUAGCAUAGCUGGUCCGGAAGCACCCCAAAGCAACAACAUCCAGAGCGCGUACCAGAAAUGCCGUAACUGACCAGGGAAAGCUGAAGGUAAGAAAGAAGGACAGGCGUGAGGGCUCAGAGCCGAGAGGUGGUGGACCUCCAACUGAGGGCUAGCGCCUCAAACCCAGGCGUGCUGACAUGGUUCUGCACAGGGCUGGUGUCUUUGAAGCCUCUUGGUUGUUCCUGCACGUGUGAAUAUUCUUGCAGUGGAGGAAUUGUGUGAAUCACUAGCUGGCUCUGGAGGCCAGAGGCUGUUGUCUCAUUUUCACAGAUUUAAAGUACAGCCCAUGUCACCGGGGCUUGGAGAGUCACAGGAGUAAAUGGCUGCACCUUUGCACGACUCACUGCGCCAUCGGGGCCCGAUGAUUGGUAUUUACUGAGGCCUGAUGGCUACUGUAAAAUUAAUUGGUGGCGGUUGCCUGCCCUUCUUCUGUCUUCUGCCUGUCUUGUAUUUUCCCUCUCCUCUGACAUGAGUCUCUUGCUUUCUUUCGCUCUUUAUCUCUUUAUCCCAGUGACUUCAGCCUCCAGUUCAACCUCCAACCAGCCAAUGUAUUUUUCUUCUUCUUUGAAUGGAAUCUCCCAGGUUCUUGGAUGAAAAUAUGCCAAAAGCUGUCUGGCCGUCAGAGAUAAAGGUGGUAGAUGAAGUGAAGUGAAUUCGAGAUGAAUCGUUUGACUCGAUCUGAGCCUUAAUUAGAAGCACCUUUAGACCAUUGCUCUUGUAUGUUUGGGGACAUUAAUAAGAAAUGUUCCAGUGUUCAAAGUCUGUUAAAGUGAUUGGGUAUGCCCAGAUCUUUGUGUUCCCAAUGCAGCUUUGUAAAUAAUAAAACUUAUGUAUGCUGUAUACUUAAAUACCAUCCUUCCGUUCAGGUCAGAAAUUUGUUACACAGAAUUGAGCCCCAGCGUGUUUUGGGAACGUGCAGAAUUAUGAAAAGACAUAAACCAAUGUCUCUGAAUCAGACGGAAGUGAAUGGAAGAAUUAGAUUCUCGACUCCCCUGAAAAUGAGGUCUUGGGUAUGACAUGCUGAAGAACAGUAUUAUUUUAAAAACAAUGACUUGUGUGGCACGUACAAAGACGUGCAGAGAGCUGCUGAUAGGGCAGGGGACAGCACCAUGUUAGCCCUGUGUCAUUCCUGUGUGUGGGUGGUGGAAGAAAGCGGACAACAAUUUCAAGGUUUAUAAAAACAUUUUAAAUGUGGUUAUCAGGUAUGCUGUUGGAGGUGUUGGUUAUGCUGAAUCCAGAGUUCAAAGUCUUCACUUUGUGACCCUUCUUCUCUUUGAGUGGAGGAGUGCACCGCAUGCUGCUGUGUACCUCUGUGGCUGAGCCCACUGAUUUGGCUAUGGUUCCUUAAUUGACAUUGCAUACACUUCUUUUUAUUUUCAGUAAGUAAAACCAGACUGGGGGCACUUGCCAGAUAGGGUCAACAGCGCUGUCAGCAACAGGUAACUUGUGCUGUGUUAGGAAAGCAUCUGAAUUUGGACAGUGAGGCAUUUCUAAUUACACACCUGGGCUUGCACCCACCGACAUGUCAGCGGCUUCUUUGCUGCUCACCAAGCUGUCAAGGAGAGACAAAGGGACCCCCUCCCAAAAAGCAGUCAGCAAUCAGUUCUUACUUUUUGACAGCAAAGGCUUUUAAGGUGCCUGUUGGCUCUUAAAACAUGCAUUAAACCGUCCAUGUAAUAUAAAAUAAACACUUGGUUUAGUGUCUCUCACAAAGCAGAUUAAAAAUAUGUUGGCAAAUAGUUCUUAAAUUGGCAUCCCUAGUGCGUGUAAAUGGAAGUCUGCUGCAGGGCAGGCAACAAGUCCCUCUGCUUUCUUUGGCUUUGUUUCCAUGCCGUGCUUCUCUGCUCAUUGUGCUGAGCGGUGGUUUACUGUUGAGACUGCUAAGAUUCAAAACAAGAAUAGAAAGCCAGCAGGAAGUUAUUAAAUGGUUUUACAGAAAUGUCAAGCCCACUUCUUCUGAUGAUUCUCCCUCUUCCCUCCUAGAAUCCUUUAAGCAACUUUGUACUUCCCCUUUUUUUUUUUUUUUUUUUUGAUUACAUGUUAACCUUUGUGCUGCGCUGGAGAGGAAAUGGGGAUGAUAAUGCCUGUGCUCAGGAAGAUAAAGUAAACUUAGCUGGAGCAUUCUGUGAUUGCUCAGCCUUGCAGUCAGAUUGUCUUAUGGUGACUGCUAGCAUGGGGAGCAGAGAUGCUGCAGGAAUGUCUGUUUAAUGAUCUUAAAAAAAUGUAGUCUGGGUUCGUCAUUGCCCUGUGAUGAGUGUUUCAUUAAUAUGUAAUUGAUUUUCAGCCUUUGGAAGAUUUGCUUAAUAUGAACUGACAGUUCAGCUUUGCAGAGUAAUCAGCCUGUAUCAUCCCUGCCCAAUUUUCUGGUGUUUUAGGUUAGAUCUGCAAAUCCAGAUCUGCUCAACCCACUUUACUCUUUCAAUACAGGGAAACGUUUCAUGUUUUUCAAGGAGUUACCACAUAGUGGUGUGUCUGGCUCCUCACCUUGCUGUGUAUGUGCAGCAACCAGUUGCAAGAGCUGGUCAGGAAAGGGUGGUCUAAUCUCACAGUACAGGAGAAAGAGGAACCGCCCAGCAAAGGCUACAGCGAGGAACCUCAUCCUGAUGGAGGACAGCACACAUGGUAGCAUCACUGCAUCUCCUACUUGAGUAGUCAGGGCAGGCCUUGGAUCUGAAUGUGAAGGGUGAACACAUUUUCUCCUGAAGGAUUUCUGUGGUCACGGAUUGAGGGUUUGACCUCCUUCUUAAAUGAACACUUGCUCUUGAGAGUAAACCUCUGCUUCCUAAAACACCAGGAUGAUUUAUUUACCAUCAGCACUGCCACUGACAGUUCAGAGGUUUCCUGCAGCAGAGGAUGAAAUAAUUAAAAAGUAGGGCUACACAAAAUAUCUGUUGAGAAAGAGCCAGACAGGACUGGAAGCCAGAUGACUUUGAAAAACCUUCAAAGUUUUUGCUAUUUAUUCAAGAAAGCAGGUACUGAAAAUUCUGUCUCUUUAGUAUAAAAUUGGUUGAUGAGUCUCAGAUCAGCAAUUAGUGGCUGUCACAUCACCAACAAAAAGAGAGAAUAAUAAUCACUGUGCGUAGAAUAAGUAAGAUUUACAAGACUUGAAUGGAUGGUCUUGUAUGAUUCUGUAUUUUCUUUUCUGGCCAAGCUGGAAGCACAUUACUAGGGUGUUGAGGGCAAAACUUUAAUCAAAGAGAUACUGAAACUCCUUGAUGCUUGCUCUCCCAUUACAUGUUUCUGGGAUGCAGCAGUAGGAUAGCUCUUCCUAAAUGCCAGCCUGGUAGUGCUCUUUUGAGAUAGAGCAAUGUCCUUUGGAGAGUGGUCAGUCAUUUCUUCUUAUUUUAAUUUUCCUAUUUUUUAUAUAUAUAACUUCAAACGUGUUAGGAGACAA